Molecule: long non-coding RNA, 1336 nt
Organism: Salvelinus sp. IW2-2015
Lineage: Eukaryota; Metazoa; Chordata; Actinopteri; Salmoniformes; Salmonidae
Source: RefSeq, a predicted model, not a curated record
AAUGUCUAAAAACCUGGUAUUUGCUUUGUCAUUAUGGGGUAMUGUGUGUAAAUUGAUAAGGUAACAAAUMAAUUCAAUACAUUUUAGAAUAAGGCUGUAACGUAACAUGUGGAAKAAGGGAAGGGGUCUGAAUACUUUCCAAAUGCACCGUAGCUAGAUUUGACUUAUUCUUCAUCUGGGUUAAAUUUAAGCUAUUUGGCAGGCUUAUCUCUUGCUUGCAUGGUGAUUGAUUGAGUUAGCUAGCGUUACUGUACUGGUUUUCAAUGGUUUCUGACAGUGGCAGCAUUAGUUGGACUUGUUAAGUUGAGGAGGACGGACGCAAAUUCUGUUAGCUAGCUAACAGAGUGCCUUARAUUUGAUGUAGCCAAGUUAGUAUAGCGAGCUAGUAAUGUUUAACAUUUAUUUAUUUCUGUACUUAAAUGCAGUGACUAAGGCCAAUGAAUGGACAGCUUUGUAAAGGCUACGCUGAAUGAGUGGAACCUAGAAUCUUUGAUUCAAAAGUUGGAGUCAGAGGAGAUGGACCAGGAAAGCUCUUUUGCUUUUGGACGACUCGACRAUAGCCUGAAGCUUAAAGAAGAACAUAAAAGCCUUACACGCAAUUGCUAAGGACUUCUACAUUUUCAACCCGGACUGCUCAGGGAAACUCUCUGAAUACUGGAUCACGAUCGUCAAGGACAAAAGAAGCAGGUAUAGGGAGAAGCAGCCCAGAGAGAAGCAGUCCCAAGAUCUUCUCUUUGAAGUGCAGAUACACAAGGUGACAUCGUGACUAUCUUAUAGACGAGGUUGCGAAGACAUUCCGACCCAGCUUCAAUGAGUCCAGAAAGUCCUUCAUUGACUUGCAGUCUAAGUUUAAAUAGUGGAUAGGUAUAGGGAGAUUGAUGGGGGAAAUUAGAUGAUAGCAUUUGUAAACCUUGACUUCCAUCCAAUUUGCGACACAUUAUCAUGAGAAUAUUCUAAAAUCUGCAUAAAACAAUAUGCACAUUUUCCCACCGGAGAAUACCACUGUCUGUCUUAAGUGGUAUUAACACAGAUCUGUCUAUCAGACAGUGCCAGAGCUUAUCAAUAGAUAUUCACAUUACCUGACACACCUCAGCUAUCUUAGGUGACCACACACACACAAUGCUGUUUUGUCAUAAAAUAAAUGGUCUACAAUUGGGUUGACUCUACUAAGGACAUAUAUGAAUGACUCAUUACUUAAGUAAUAACUAUGUAAUUCAUAAAGCACUUUUCACAAUCUUCAAAAUGUAACAUUUGUAUUUAUUUUUGUUGUGAUAGAAUGAAAGCGUACCAUAACGUCCUUCAGUAGCUGAACUAAAGGCAAACGAGCCACAUACAG